GCAGGGUGAUGCUAGAACUUCCACGUUGCCCACGAGUGUAGGUACGUUCUCCGUGGCCCCAGGCCUGGACUCCUGCUUCGAGGUGGACCGCUCUGGUUUCCUGGCCCCAGACGUACCUGUGAGCUCGCCUAGGUGUGAAGGGGAGCAGAGAGAGAGGGCGCCUGGACACUGAAUGGUCGCUGGAAGUGACGUCUCUGCUGUUUCCGAGGGAGCCCGCUCAACUUUGAUCUUACAAAAUUUGCUUCCUGGGCUAUGGGAGAUGUCAGCGAAUUAAAAAUGCAAAUAACACCAGAAACUCCAGGAAGGAUCCCUGUUUUAAAUCCCUUUGAAAGUCCCAGUGAUUAUUCUAAUCUCCAUGAACAAACCCUUGCUAGUCCUUCUAUCUUUAAGUCCACAAAACUACCAACUCCAGGGAAAUUUAGGUGGUCUAUUGAUCAGCUGGCCAUAAUAAACCCUGUAGAGAUCGAUCCAGAGGAGAUCCAUCGGCAGGCUUCCUACCUAAGGCUUUCUCGAAUAGAUAAAGAUGUGGAAGACAAAAGACAAAAAGCCAUUGAAGAGUUUUUUACUAAAGAUGUCAUUGUGCCCUCUCCCUGGACUGAUCAUGAUGGAAAACAGCCUUCAGAGCUUCAUCCCAGUAAAUGCCUAAGUAGCCAUGAUGACUCUCCUGAUGGGAAAAAGCCAAGUCUUCCCUCACAGAAGUGCAACGCUGCCUGCCAGACUCUGCUGUCUCUUCCUGUGGAUUUUAAUUUGGAAGCCAUAUUAGGAGACUAUUUUAGAGAAGAGGACUUUGUGGCCCACACUCCUGGGAACCUCAGUUCUUCAUCUCUGAGAAGAAAGCUCUUUUUGGAUGGGAAUGGAAGCAUCUGUGACCCUUUGCCUUCGCCGUCGCCCGGAAGUCCUCCCUGCAGUGCCCGGGGGUCGCUCGAGGGACAGUUUUCUUCCAGCCCCAUUCAGAACAGUGUGAAAAAAUACAGCUUGGGAAGCGUCACCACGAGCCCGUCGGCCAUCUCCUCACCUACCUUCUCACCUAUCGCACUUCAAGGAGGAAAGACGCCGCUCUCAGGUCAAAUCUAAGUGGAUCAAGGAACUCCACAUAAAACCAGAGACACUGAAACUUAUAGAGGAGAAAGUGGGGAAGAGUCUCGAAGAUAUGGGCACAGGGGAAAACUUCCUGAACAGAACAUCAUGGCUUAUGCUGUAAGAUUGGGAAUCAAAUGGGACCUCAUAAAAUUGCAAGGCUUUGGAAGGUAAGGCAAAGACACCGUCAAUAAGACAAAAAGGCCACCAACAGAUUGGGAAAGGAUCUUUACCAAUCCUAAAUCAGAUAGGGGACUAAUAUCCAAUAUAUAUAAAGAACUCAAGAAAAUGGACUCCAGAAAAUCAAAUAACCCCAUUAAAAAAAUGGGGCUCAGAGCUAAACAAAGAAUUCUCAACUGAGGAACACCAAAUAGCUGAGAAGCACCUGAAAAAAUGUUCAAAAUCCUUAAUCAUCAGAGAAAUGCAAAUCAAAACAACCCUGAGAUUCCAACUCACACCAGUCAGAAUGGCUAAGAUCAAAAAUUCAGGUGACAGCAGAUGCUGGCGAGGAUGUAGAGAAAGAGGGAUACUCCUCCAUUGUUGGUGGGACUGCAAGCGUGUACAACCACUCUGGAAAUAAUUCUGGCGGUUCCUCAGAAAAUUGGACAUAGUAUUACUGGAAGAUCCAGCAAUACCACUCUUGGACACAUACCCAGGAGAUGUCCCAACUUGUAAUAACAACACAUGCUCCACUAUGUUCAUAGCAGCCUUAUUUAUAAUAGCCAGAAGCUGGAAAGAACCCAGAUGUUCCUCAACAGAGGAAUGGAUACAGAAAAUGUGGUACAUUUACACAAUGGAGUACUGCUCAACAAUUAAAAACAAUGAAUUUAUGAAAUUCUUAGGCAAAUGGAUGUAUCUGGAGAGUAUCAUCCUGAGUGAGGUAACCCAAUCACAAAAGAACUCGCAUGAUAUGCACUCACUGAUAAGCAGAUAUUAACCAAGAAACUACCCAAGGUACAAUUUACAAAACACAUGAAACUCAAGAAGGAAGACCAAAGUGUGGAUACUUCAUUCCUCCUUAGAAUGGGGAAUAAAAUACCCAUGAAGGGAGUUACAGAGACAAAGUUCGGACCUGAGACGGAAGAAAGGACCAUCCAGAGACUGCCCCAUUCAGGGAUCCAUCCCAUAUACAACCAUCAAACCCAGACACAUUGCAUACGCAAGCAAAAUUUAGCUGUCAGGACCCUGAUACAGAACCCAGGAAGCUUACGUUUCAUUCUCCCGAAGCUUCGUGUGCAACAGCUUCUACGGGGAUCGUUAACCCGAGCAUCAGGAGUCCGUACAUAGAUGGCUGCUCGCCAAUCAAAAACUGGUCUCCUCGGAGACUGAGAGGUGGCCCUCAGUGUUUGUCCUCCCUGGUCCGCAUACCUUUUACCCUUGAGGCUCACAGUGAAGAUGAAGAGGCGGACGUUUCCUGCACAGGCGCGGCUCCACUCAGCACAAAUGCUUGUGGUGAGCCUCGAGUUGUCACUGCCAUGUCUGUUACACAGAGUCACUCUGGUAUUGCUGAGAAAGAGCGAGCAGUGCUGGACGAUGCGGAAAGUGAGAGGGAAAAUGACACCGUGGAUAUGGUCGAUCCUACAGACACAGUAGCUGAAAGCACGUGGAUAAAAGAGCCAGUGGAUGAUGGGAAUUCACCCAUGACGGAUUCCGCGAGUGGAAUUGCCUUCAGUAUUGAAAACUCUCAUAUGUGCAUGUCGCCUCUUGCAGAAAGCAGUGUCCUGCCUUAUGAAAGCAGUGCUAUCCAGAUGAAUAGUGACUAUAACACACAGACUUGUGUAAGUAAUAUCACUGAUAUUGUUGGGACAGAAAGAUAUUGCAAAGAAAAUGUCACACAUACAAAUGUUCCAGUGCCCUUUGAAGUGGAAAUGAAAUCUCAAGUUAAUAACGUAACGCCCGGCCACACAGCGCAGCGGUGCUGGAUGAAAUCUCCGCGUCCAUCUCAGUGCAGCCGCCCGUAGUCUCAAGACCAAAGACGGGUGCUCAGCGAGUUAGUGUGAUGCUGAUGGGUGCCUGCUUCACGUACUGUGCCUACUUCCCUCAGUAAUGUGAAAGGCUGCAAAGGAAAUUGGUGCUAGGACCAGAAACUCCAAGUUGUUAAAUUAUGUUUUUUUUAAAUCAAUAAAUAUUUCUAUAUUUGCUUCAAGUGGCUUGUUUAACAAGUAAAUUAUGGCAGACCUCAUGGCUUUCUCCUGUCCUACAGGGUCAAUGAACUGCUUGUUAAGACUUUGAAUGGUAGUCUUGAAUUUAUCAGUUCUAGGAACAUGAGAAAAAUGUGGAAACGGAAUGCACUAUGUAUUUUUACAUGAAACUGUGUGAAAGAAGUCUUGAAAUAUAAAACUUACAGAGGUAAAAGGAAGUAAAAUGGACUCCCUAAAAUUUCAUUUCUGUGGGGAAAUUACUUGGUUCGUGGUAUAAGCGCGCUAGUUAAUACUCUGAACACUAUAAAUGUAGAAAGGUGCUACUGGGCACCAUCCAAAUGCUGCCAUCUGUAGGGGCGAACAUGGGCUGCCACGAUAGCAUGUACCUCCAUUCCUAGGCUUGGUGGGGAGAUGAACAGAACACAGCAGAGUCAGAAUCACUGGGAGACCGGGGAAUUUCUGUUGAGAACUAUGAAGAAACAAUUGGGAAAAUAGCUAAAUAAAAUACAUUUAAAAACCUGUCUGUAUUAGAAAAGAGGUGGAUAUAAUAAUGUGUUUGAGAACAAAGACUGUAUUUUUGUACUUUCUUAAAAACUACAUAACUCAAAAUGAUUCAUUAGUCCUAGAAAAUAAAGAUUUACUACCGUUA
Mus musculus (house mouse) is the source of this 3867-nucleotide RNA transcript. It is a transcript of the gene named bora, aurora kinase A activator, with no coding region annotated. Lineage: Eukaryota; Metazoa; Chordata; Mammalia; Rodentia; Muridae. The record is from RefSeq and is marked validated. The transcript has 13 exons.